UGUAAGGUCUAAUUGCUUAUAAUGGUGUA
This 29-nucleotide non-coding RNA is filed under the name Rattus norvegicus (Norway rat). Lineage: Eukaryota; Metazoa; Chordata; Mammalia; Rodentia; Muridae. The record is from RNAcentral.